UGCUGGAGGAGCUAAUGUCACCUCCUACACUUGCUGCAGUGAGUUUCAUUAAAAAAUCUCUGGCAUUAGGCUUGCGAAGCACAAGUUUUUCUAUUUGGAGGACACACAAUGACAAUUUUCUCUAUGCGAGCAGACAGUUGGAUUCAUUGUCGGGGCAAUCACAUUCUUGAAGAACCUCCUAAUCGGUGAGAAUGCGCCACUUCAUGUGAUACAGGACACUAUUCAACUAUAGGGGAUGGGACUAUUCCUUGUAUCACACUUAUCUUAGGAGGCAACCUCACUCAAGGCAAGACUUUCUUGACCCUCCAUUUUCUCUCAAACAGAAAUGUCGGAAUUCAUUGAUCGAUUGCUUUGCUUGAACAGGUUUAUGUUCUUCGAGAAUCAGACCAUGGGCUAUUGCCGGGGUGAUUAGUGUUUGGUAUGUGAUACUUCCGGUGAUUGGAAUCGGAGUCGUGAAGGCUGCCGGCAAGCUUGGCUUUCUGGCAUCAGACCCAUUGUACCACUAUGUCUUCAUGGUUCAGUUCACACUCCCACCAGCCAUGAAUAUCGGGACAAUGACCGAGCUCUUUGAUGUGGGGCAAGAGGAGUGUUCCGUGCUCUUCCUCUGGACAUACUUGUUUGCAGCCAUAGCUCUCACUUUCUGGUCAACUGUGUACAUGUGGAUCUUGUCCUGAUAUUUUUUUCUCAGGCGAAUAGAGUCCGACUCAGACUCAGCCAAACUCGCCAGAACUUUGGGCAGCUGAGCUUGUAAUUCAAUAAGAGCUAUAUAACUUCACAUUCAUGUAUGCCAACAACAGAUACAUAGUUGACAGUGUCGGAUUUACCUAAAAUGCCGGUGAAACAAUGUAAAGCUGAGUCCGCAACCGGCAAUUCAAAAAGUUCGAGCUGAUAGAAAAUGGUCCUGACUUUGGUUUUUCAAAUUGAAGGCAGUCGAGUAA
Rhodamnia argentea is the source of this 938-nucleotide long non-coding RNA. RefSeq lists it as uncharacterized. The record is from RefSeq and is a predicted model, not a curated record. Lineage: Eukaryota; Viridiplantae; Streptophyta; Magnoliopsida; Myrtales; Myrtaceae. The transcript has 3 exons.